ACGGUUUCUGGGUCGUGUUGGAACAAACCUAGUACAUUUUGUGUCAUUCCAGUACAUUUACAAAAUUCCAAUAUUCCAGUACAUUUCCAAAAAUUUCUCUGGCAACACUGUUAACGUGACGAGUGACGAUGACGAUUAACAUGACAUUGACGAAUGACGCGACGCCAUCUCCGAUUUCCGCCAUGGCCAUCUCAUUCAUCUCCAUCAUCAUCCAUGACAUGUUUGGAUUGAUGUUUGGGCGUUUGGGUUUGUUUCACAGUACAUUUCUGUCAUGUAAUGUGGUUUGUUUGUCUGUUUUUGUUUGUCCCCUUUUGUCCAUGAAGCGUUUUAAAAUGCAUUUUGGAUAUUGGUGCUGCUAAGUGAAGUUAUAUAAUGUUGGUUUUAAGGUAAACACAUGCAGAAGAGUAAAUUUUUACAACUGCAGGCACAUUCUCUCCAAAAUAUGAUUCCUUAAUCAAACGUCUGAAUGUAUAUUUGACCACGUAAAUGCCGGCGUUAAGAGCAGAAGCAGUGCCAUCACCGUGUCUGGUUACAUAUAAUUGGAUUUUUGGUUAUUUUGGAGAACUGACAAACACCUCAUGAUUGCCAAAAGCAUUUCUGCCGAAGAUGACAUUUUAAGUUUGGUGUUUUUUAUCCGAUCGACACUGAUGAAUAGAAAUAGCGUUUAAAAAAAGAGACGGCGAAUAAUAUUCAAAAUAUUGAUCUAAUGUAUAAAUGUAGUAAUGCAGUUCCUAAAGUAGUCUUAAUAUUAAAUUUUGUUUGUUGUGUA
Diabrotica virgifera virgifera (western corn rootworm) is the source of this 769-nucleotide long non-coding RNA. RefSeq lists it as uncharacterized. The transcript has 2 exons. Lineage: Eukaryota; Metazoa; Arthropoda; Insecta; Coleoptera; Chrysomelidae. The record is from RefSeq and is a predicted model, not a curated record.